UCGUAACAAGGUUUCCGUAGGUGAACCUGCGGAAGGAUCAUUACUGAUUUGCUUAUUGCACCACAUGUGUUUUUCUUUGAAACAAACUUGCUUUGGCGGUGGGCCCAGCCUGCCGCCAGAGGUCUAAACUUACAACCAAUUUUUUAUCAACUUGUCACACCAGAUUAUUACUAAUAGUCAAAACUUUCAACAACGGAUCUCUUGGUUCUCGCAUCGAUGAAGAACGCAGCGAAAUGCGAUACGUAAUAUGAAUUGCAGAUAUUCGUGAAUCAUCGAAUCUUUGAACGCACAUUGCGCCCUCUGGUAUUCCGGAGGGCAUGCCUGUUUGAGCGUCGUUUCUCCCUCAAACCGCUGGGUUUGGUGUUGAGCAAUACGACUUGGGUUUGCUUGAAAGACGGUAGUGGUAAGGCGGGAUCGCUUUGACAAUGGCUUAGGUCUAACCAAAAACAUUGCUUGCGGCGGUAACGUCCACCACGUAUAUCUUCAAACUUUGACCUCAAAUCAGGUAGGACUACCCGCUGAACCUAAGCAUAUCA
Molecule: unclassified non-coding RNA, 536 nt
Filed under: Candida albicans
Lineage: Eukaryota; Fungi; Ascomycota; Pichiomycetes; Serinales; Debaryomycetaceae
Description: sequence contains 18S rRNA gene, ITS1, 5.8S rRNA gene, ITS2, 28S rRNA gene
Rfam family: 5.8S ribosomal RNA (bases 182-335)
Source: RNAcentral